GUUGUAUGGUUAAGUGACUAAGCGUACAUGGUGGAUGCCUUGGCAGUCAGAGGCGAUGAAGGACGUACUAACCUGCGAUAAGCCGUGAGCAGUCGGUAAGAGACAUUACGACUCACGGAUUUCCGAAUGGGGAAACCCACUUAGCAUAAGCUAGGUAUCGCUGCGUGAAUACAUAGCGCAGCGAGGCGAACCGGGAGAACUGAAACAUCUAAGUACCCCGAGGAAAAGAAAUCAACCGAGAUUCCCUCAGUAGCGGCGAGCGAACGGGGAUUAGCCCUUAAGCAUCUUGGAAGUUAGUGGAACGGUCCUGGAAAGGCCGGCGAUACAGGGUGAUAGCCCCGUACACGAAAACAACCUUGAUGUGAAAUCGAGUAGGGCGGGACACGUGACAUCCUGUCUGAAUAUGGGGGGACCAUCCUCCAAGGCUAAAUACUCCUGACUGACCGAUAGUGAACCAGUACCGUGAGGGAAAGGCGAAAAGAACCCCUGUGAGGGGAGUGAAAUAGAACCUGAAACCGUGUACGUACAAGCAGUGGGAGCCCUUCGGGGUGACUGCGUACCUUUUGUAUAAUGGGUCAGCGACUUACAUUUUGUAGCGAGGUUAACCGUAUAGGGGAGCCGUAGGGAAACCGAGUCUUAACUGGGCGUCUAGUUGCAAGGUGUAGACCCGAAACCGGGUGAUCUAGCCAUGGGCAGGUUGAAGGUUGAGUAACAUCAACUGGAGGACCGAACCCACUAACGUUGCAAAGUUAGGGGAUGACCUGUGGCUGGGGGUGAAAGGCCAAUCAAACUCGGAGAUAGCUGGUUCUCCCCGAAAGCUAUUUAGGUAGCGCCUCGGACGAAUACUACUGGGGGUAGAGCACUGUUUGGGCUAGGGGGUCAUCCCGACUUACCAACCCCAUGCAAACUCCGAAUACCAGUAAGUAAUAUCCGGGAGACACACGGCGGGUGCUAACGUCCGUCGUGAAGAGGGAAACAACCCAGACCGCCGGCUAAGGUCCCAAAGUUCUGGUUAAGUGGGAAACGAUGUGGGAAGGCUCAGACAGCUAGGAUGUUGGCUUAGAAGCAGCCAUCAUUUAAAGAAAGCGUAAUAGCUCACUAGUCGAGUCGGCCUGCGCGGAAGAUGUAACGGGGCUCAAACCAGGCACCGAAGCCGCGGAUU
RNAcentral lists this ribosomal RNA (1162 nucleotides) under Aeromonas caviae. RNAcentral describes it as "partial 23S ribosomal RNA". It matches the Rfam family "Bacterial large subunit ribosomal RNA", at positions 1 to 1208 of the family's 2925-position model. The record is from RNAcentral. Lineage: Bacteria; Pseudomonadati; Pseudomonadota; Gammaproteobacteria; Aeromonadales; Aeromonadaceae.